UACGUAGGGGGCAAGCGUUGUCCGGAUUUAUUGGGCGUAAAGAGCGUGUAGGCGGUUUGGUAGGUCCGUUGUGAAAACUCGAGGCUCAACCUCGAGACGCCGAUGGAAACCAUCAGACUAGAGUCCGGAAGAGGAGAGUGGAAUUCCUGGUGUAGCGGUGAAAUGCGCAGAUAUCAGGAAGAACACCCGUGGCUAAGGCGGCUCUCUGGGACGGUACUGACGCUGAGACGCGAAAGCGUGGGGAGCAAACGGG
RNAcentral lists this ribosomal RNA (253 nucleotides) under uncultured bacterium. RNAcentral's name for it is "partial 16S ribosomal RNA". It matches the Rfam family "Bacterial small subunit ribosomal RNA", at positions 524 to 776 of the family's 1533-position model. The record is from RNAcentral.